GGGGUGUCUGCCGUGCUGCCCGCCCGGGCCCGGCCCGAUGGGGCCGGUCUCCCGGCUGGUACCGGUGUCGUUGUGGGACCCUGGCGGCCCGGGCCCGGGAAGCUCGGUGCGGUGUGCUGAGGCCGUGGUCGUAGUUGUAGCAGCCGAGGGGUGUCUGUGUAUAAAUCUGUAUCUGCCUGGUUUUACCUUCUUCCGAUUCUCCUCCUCAUCCCACUGGGGACUGGGGAGAGUGAGCAGCUAUGUGGUACUUAAGUUGCUGGCUGGCUGAAACCAGGACACUCAACCUGUCUUCACAGGUCACCAGGGUGCAGUACAGCAAUACAGUCCUUGAUGUGACAUGGUGGGAUUUGCUCCAAAAAUGAGUGGUUGUACGGGUUCUGCAAAAUCUGAACACUGUUGAAAGGAUUUGUGUGUGGCACAUGCAAGCCUGACAUCCAAGCAAGUUGUGUCUGAUGUCAUCAUAUGGUAUCACAUUAUUUGUGCACAUAUUUAGCACCCUUUGCACAAGCAGGGAUGACAUCAGAGGAUAGGAAUAGUGAAGAUUCAAGCUUCAUUUACAGUAGAAGCCAGUCAGUGUUUGAUACCAAAUAUCUUCAGAGGUGCAAACAAGCUGAAGUCUUUACUUCUAAAUGUGAUCUUAGAUCAAAGGUAUGCCUUUCAGUAUCCUCUUGGAUGUUUAUCACCUUGACCUAGGUGACACUGUCUCAGGAAGGCUGCAGAAGAACUGAGGAAUUCAAGGGCAACAUUUUCAUGAGGUUCAGUUUGGAUGCCUUUGUUUCUGGACAUCAUCUUGAUUUGCAGAGGUAGACACCUUGGUUGGAAUAGGUGGGAAAGAAACUACACUGAAUAUCUGUUGCCAAGCAGCCACAAGAAACGUAACUUCAUUUGUACAGUAUGCAGAUUCUUCUGUUUGAUCAUGUGUGAGUUUGAACCAGAAACUUUGGUCACCACAAGAUGACAGUAUAGUUCAACUAAAAAUUUUUCUCCUAAACAACUCAGUACAAACUCUCUAAACAGUAACUGUAAAUUAGGUAAAGAAGUGGAAAACAACAUUAUCUGUACAGUUCUUACAUCUCUAUGACAAUAAUAGUUGAUAUGAUCAAACAGCAAUGCUUAUGAAAAAGGCUGUUGCAUCCUGCUAAGAAGCGAGUAAAUGUAAUACAAAAAGCUUUCACUUGUUUAAGAUGAAAAUGGAUAGAAGAAAAUUAAACAGCUGUCACUAAAGUAUGAAAUUGAUUGUUAAAAUGUAGUGGAAAUGAUAAAUUAUAAAAACUCUUUGUAUAACAAA
This 1288-nucleotide long non-coding RNA is filed under the name Strigops habroptila (Kakapo). Its description in RNAcentral is "lncRNA (ENSSHBG00005004775.1)". The record is from RNAcentral. Lineage: Eukaryota; Metazoa; Chordata; Aves; Psittaciformes; Psittacidae.